Molecule: non-coding RNA, 104 nt
Organism: Marasmius sp. AFHP31
Lineage: Eukaryota; Fungi; Basidiomycota; Agaricomycetes; Agaricales; Marasmiaceae
Source: the annotation of a GenBank genome assembly
GGGGGUAUAGCUCAGCUGGGAGAGCAGCAGACUGAAGUAAAGCUGUAGCAGGCAUGACAUUUGUUCGGUUCUGAAGGUCCCGCGUUCGAUCCGCGGUACCCCCA